This 507-nucleotide long non-coding RNA is filed under the name Numida meleagris (helmeted guineafowl). RNAcentral's name for it is "lncRNA (ENSNMEG00000007292.1)". The record is from RNAcentral. Lineage: Eukaryota; Metazoa; Chordata; Aves; Galliformes; Numididae.
CAAACAGCUCCCAUAAAUGUUAACAGCACAGCUAGACUUAAGGAUUGUGCACAAAAGGCAGUUUUUUUCUGGAUAAGAUCUCUGCCAUAGUACAUGUUGUUUGGUGUCUUGAUGGUGAAUCCCUUGAAGAGGUUGGCCUGCUGUCACCUCAUGCUGGUGAUGAAAGAGAUGCCAGCAAUUCAGCCACAUCACUGUUUUUUGGUGGGCCAGAGCUCACUCUUUCAUUAGGCUGCAGUUAAAGGCCAGGUGUAUGGCAUCAUUCUUCUUAGCAAAAUAUUUUCUCUUCUCCAGCAGGCUGCAGUGCAGGGGAAACAACACACAUCCUCAAAAGAGCAAGGGAAAAAAACAUAAUUUCUUUUGGGUUGGAAUACUAGCUGUCCAACAGCAGAGAUUCGAUGACUGCAUUGCUCUUCUCUGAGCUUGGGGAUCACUGCAUAUCCCUUUCAGUCUCACAGUAAGUCCUCUUCUCUGAAUAUGUUUCUUUACAUUUUUUGUCUUUCUCCUUUU